GGGUUGGUUAUGAUAUAUAAGGGGGUGUUUCCACUUGGGUUAAAAGUCGCGGAUUAAGGUAUUUUUAAGCCGCGCCAAUCCACCGCUAAUCCGUCGGAGUGUUUCAUACGUCUGGAUUAAGAAACGGAUUGAAGUACGACACUUGCUCAUUCCGUGCAUAAAAUGCAAAAACGAGUAUUGCCAGACAUCUAAAAGACUAUCGAGUAUCAACAUGAAGGCCUUGUAGCACCUUUGAACGACACCCACGGUGUGGUGCAUAAUGCCGAACAAGAAGCACAAAGCUUCCACAAAACUAGGAACACCUACAGCCUUUAUAAAGGAUAACCUUCCAACCUAUCACUCAGGCUUUUUAUGAGGCGUCGUGAAAAGUGUUAAUCCGAGAUUGUCAAUUUGAUACCUGGUGGCCACCAGGUAGCAAAUUUUUCGCACCAAGUUUGAGCUUUUAGUAUAAGCAGAAAGCUCGCAUUUCAUAGCAUAUUAAUCUAUAAUUAAUCCGCGAAGCGCGUGAAUACGGAC
This 516-nucleotide long non-coding RNA is filed under the name Volvox carteri. Its description in RNAcentral is "long non-coding RNA (VCAR_LNC003758)". Lineage: Eukaryota; Viridiplantae; Chlorophyta; Chlorophyceae; Chlamydomonadales; Volvocaceae. The record is from RNAcentral.